RNAcentral lists this ribosomal RNA (243 nucleotides) under uncultured Actinomycetales bacterium. RNAcentral describes it as "partial 16S ribosomal RNA". It matches the Rfam family "Bacterial small subunit ribosomal RNA", at positions 88 to 334 of the family's 1533-position model. Lineage: Bacteria; Bacillati; Actinomycetota; Actinomycetes; Actinomycetales. The record is from RNAcentral.
UACUCGAGUGUCGAACGGGUGAGUAACACGUGGGUGAUCUGCCCUGCACUUCGGGAUAAGCCUGGGAAACUGGGUCUAAUACCGGAUAGGAGCCAUUUUUAGUGUGAUGGUUGGAAAGUUUUUUAGGUGUAGGAUGAGCUCGCGGCCUAUCAGCUUGUUGGUGGGGUAAUGGCCUACCAAGGCGGCGACGGGUAGCCGGCCUGAGAGGGUGGACGGCCACAUUGGGACUGAGAUACGGCCCAG